GAUGAAGAACGCAGCGAAAUGCGAUACGUAAUGUGAAUUGCAGAAUUCAGUGAAUCAUCGAAUCUUUGAACGCAUAUUGCGCUCUUUGGAAUUCCGAAGAGCAUGCUUGUUUGAGUAUCAGUAAACACCUCAAAGCUUUUGGAUUUUUUAAUCGAAAAGCUUUGGACUUGAGCAAUCCCAACACCAAUCUUUUUGAGAUCGGUGGCGGGUUGCUUGAAAUGCAGGUGCAGCUGGACAUUCUCCUGAGCUAAAAGCAUAUUCAUUUAGUCCCGUCAAACGGAUUAUUACUUUUGCUGCAGCUAACAUAAAGGGAGUUUGACCGUAUUGGCUGACUGAUGCAGGAUUUCACAAGGGUCGGCAACGAUUCUUGUUAAACUCGAUCUCAAAUCAAGUAAGACUACCCGCUGAACUUAAGCAUAUCAAUAAGCGGAGGA
RNAcentral lists this unclassified non-coding RNA (434 nucleotides) under soil metagenome. RNAcentral describes it as "partial contains 5.8S ribosomal RNA, internal transcribed spacer 2, and large subunit ribosomal RNA". The stretch from base 1 to 120 matches the Rfam family "5.8S ribosomal RNA", at positions 35 to 154 of the family's 154-position model. The record is from RNAcentral.